GGUUCCAUGGUGUAAUGGUGAGCACUCUGGACUUUGAAUCUAGUGAUCUGAGUUCAAAUCUCGGUGGAACCUA
Molecule: transfer RNA, 73 nt
Filed under: Merluccius polli (Benguela hake)
Lineage: Eukaryota; Metazoa; Chordata; Actinopteri; Gadiformes; Merlucciidae
Description: tRNA-Gln
Rfam family: tRNA
About the family: Transfer RNA (tRNA) molecules are approximately 80 nucleotides in length.
Source: RNAcentral